This 218-nucleotide long non-coding RNA is filed under the name Elaeis guineensis (African oil palm). RNAcentral's name for it is "long non-coding RNA (EGUI_LNC062824)". The record is from RNAcentral. Lineage: Eukaryota; Viridiplantae; Streptophyta; Magnoliopsida; Arecales; Arecaceae.
CAAAUAUUUCAAAAUCAAAUUCUUCAUACCAUACUAGAUUUUAACAUUUACCUCAAUAAUAAUGGCAAAGAAACUCCAAAUCAGUUCCUCAUCGCAAAAUUUUGAAUUAUAAUUUCACAUACAUCUCAAAAUGUUGAAUAGAUAUAAAUAAGAUCUUUUAUUUUGACUUAAAGAUAGCAAUCAAGGAUUUCAUUAACAUCCUAAACCUCGAUGGCAGA